This is a long non-coding RNA of Pezoporus occidentalis (night parrot), 1468 nucleotides long. RefSeq lists it as uncharacterized. Lineage: Eukaryota; Metazoa; Chordata; Aves; Psittaciformes; Psittacidae. The record is from RefSeq and is a predicted model, not a curated record. The transcript is spliced from 5 exons.
CGACUCCUUUCACCAGCACUGCUGUUGAUCCGUUUCAGAAAGAAAGGAGUAUCCUUCACUCAGCUGGCACACAGCUCAGGGCUCGGGUUUGGGGUUCUUUCUUUGAGAAGUCAAGGAAAGAACCGUUCCUAUGCCUUCUACCAGUGUGUGAGAAGGUGCAUGUAGGAGCUCUGUUAUGCCGGAGAGGUGCUGCAGCAAGAGAUGGAAGAAAACUCUUUAUUAUUGAGGCUUUGGCACAUGCUGUUGAGGCUCCAGCUGUUGGAUAGGACCCGGCUCCCCUUGAGGCUCACGAGGACUCAGCAGUGCUUUUUAAGGUCACUAAGUGUCCCACUGCCAGACUUCAUUUCAGAACCAAGACUCGAUGGUAAUACCUAUAAGAGACGUAUUCCCGGACUGCAGAGUCAGUGAACUUUGAAACGGGAGCAAAACAAGAAGCAUCAGUAGUGCGACCUGCAUGAAGUGCUGGGGAUGGAGCUCAUCAGUGAAGCCAAGCAAAACUUGACAUGAGACUUCCCAUUCAGGAAGAUGAGCUUUCCAGGUGCGUGGUUGCUGCUGUCCAGGCUGAGAGGGAUCUCCAGUAAUGCGCAUCUUCAGGUUUGGCUGAUCUCUUCAGGAGGUGGCAGUAAAUAGAUGGAAGUAUUUUUCACAGAAUUUUGUGAGCACUCUAGGUUUUUCCCAAACUUGUAUUUUAGCUUUAAAGUUACUGUAAAGCUCUUUUUGUGGAUAGAGGGCUGGAUGGCCCAUUAUUGAUCAGUGUGCUGCAUUUUGAAAGGGGAAAGUGACACAGGGGCAGGGAAGUAUUUAGCUUAUAUGGACACCGUGUGUUCUGGGGAGAAAGGGUGUUAAAGAAAGGCCAACAUGACACAAGGAUAAAAGGAAUUAUCUUUGAUUUGAAGUCUAAUAGGAGUCAUCAUCACACGUAUUAUCUGAUUAUUAUCAGUGUAUGCAUCUUUCUCUUUAAAAGUGGUUGGGUCAUUGUUUACUCUGUUUUGUGGCUGUGCUUUGAGAAAGCCUGAAAGCCUUUCCUCACAUGGACACAGAGGUGUAUAGACCAUGCGUGAUACAUCCUUGCAAACUCCAUCAGCCAAACAGUACUAACACUGAUGUCUGAGCUGUCAAUGGUUUAUUCCUUUUUUCCUCAGCCUGUUGAAGAACUUGCAAACAAAAGCAUCAGUACAUUAGAACUACCUAAGAAACUGUAAAAAUUCUUACCUCUUGUAUUUCUCUGCCCAUUUGUUGUUGCUCGUGGUAUUACAUGAGACCUCACACAAAUACCUCUAUUUAGUUGAAUACAGCAUGAUUUGGUUUUGAGUUCCUUCUUUUUCAAAGAUAAGCAAGUCCAACUCCUAUCUUAUUGAUCGAUUGCUGAAAUUCCCAUGACCACGCUGAGAGUGUUGCUGACAAAGCCGUAUAAGCGAAUAGUCUUGGAGGUACUCGCUUCCUAGGGGGCUGAAUUAAAAAGGUUUUA